RNAcentral lists this ribosomal RNA (500 nucleotides) under alpha proteobacterium BAL199. RNAcentral describes it as "bacterial SSU rRNA". It matches the Rfam family "Bacterial small subunit ribosomal RNA", at positions 1 to 547 of the family's 1533-position model. The record is from RNAcentral. Lineage: Bacteria; Pseudomonadati; Pseudomonadota; Alphaproteobacteria.
CUCAACCUGAGAGUUUGAUCCUGGCUCAGAACGAACGCUGGCGGCAUGCCUAACACAUGCAAGUCGAACGGCUCUUCGGAGCAGUGGCGCACGGGUGAGUAACGCGUGGGAAUCUACCCUGAGGUUCGGAAUAACGGUUGGAAACGACCGCUAAUACCGGAUGUGCCCUAUGGGGCAAAGGCUUGCCGCCUUGGGAGGAGCCCGCGUCCGAUUAGCUUGUUGGUGGGGUAACGGCCUACCAAGGCGACGAUCGGUAGCUGGUCUGAGAGGAUGAUCAGCCACACUGGGACUGAGACACGGCCCAGACUCCUACGGGAGGCAGCAGUGGGGAAUAUUGGACAAUGGGCGAAAGCCUGAUCCAGCAAUGCCGCGUGUGUGACGAAGGCCUUAGGGUUGUAAAACACUUUCGCCGAUGACGAUGAUGACGGUAGUCGGAUAAGAAGCCCCGGCUAACUCCGUGCCAGCAGCCGCGGUAAUACGGAGGGGGCGAGCGUUGUUCG